This 262-nucleotide ribosomal RNA is filed under the name uncultured bacterium. RNAcentral's name for it is "partial 16S ribosomal RNA". It matches the Rfam family "Bacterial small subunit ribosomal RNA", at positions 793 to 1055 of the family's 1533-position model. The record is from RNAcentral.
GUCCACGCCGUAAACGAUGAUAACUAGCUGUUCGGGUUCAUAGAACUUGAGUGGCGCAGCUAACGCAUUAAGUUAUCCGCCUGGGGAGUACGGUCGCAAGAUUAAAACUCAAAGGAAUUGACGGGGGCCUGCACAAGCGGUGGAGCAUGUGGUUUAAUUCGAAGCAACGCGCAGAACCUUACCAGCCUUUGACAUCCUCUGACGAAUCAGGAGACUGAUUUUUUCCUUCGGGACAGAGUGACAGGUGCUGCAUGGCUGUCGU